This 469-nucleotide ribosomal RNA is filed under the name uncultured bacterium. RNAcentral describes it as "partial 16S ribosomal RNA". It matches the Rfam family "Bacterial small subunit ribosomal RNA", at positions 27 to 507 of the family's 1533-position model. The record is from RNAcentral.
GGACGAACGCUGGCGGCGUGCUUAACACAUGCAAGUCGAACGGAAAGGCCCUGCUUUUGUGGGGUGCUCGAGUGGCGAACGGGUGAGUAACACGUGAGUAACCUGCCCUUGACUUUGGGAUAACUUCAGGAAACUGGGGCUAAUACCGGAUAGGAGCUCCUGCUGCAUGGUGGGGGUUGGAAAGUUUCGGCGGUUGGGGAUGGACUCGCGGCUUAUCAGCUUGUUGGUGGGGUAGUGGCUUACCAAGGCUUUGACGGGUAGCCGGCCUGAGAGGGUGACCGGCAACAUUGGGACUGAGAUACGGCCCAGACUCCUACGGGAGGCAGCAGUGGGGAAUAUUGCACAAUGGGCGGAAGCCUGAUGCAGCAACGCCGCGUGCGGGAUGACGGCCUUCGGGUUGUAAACCGCUUUCGCCUGUGACGAAGCGUGAGUGACGGUAAUGGGUAAAGAAGCACCGGCUAACUACGUG